RNAcentral lists this ribosomal RNA (253 nucleotides) under uncultured bacterium. RNAcentral describes it as "partial 16S ribosomal RNA". It matches the Rfam family "Bacterial small subunit ribosomal RNA", at positions 524 to 776 of the family's 1533-position model. The record is from RNAcentral.
UACGUAGGGUGCAAGCGUUGUCCGGAAUUAUUGGGCGUAAAGAGCUCGUAGGCGGUUUGUCGCGUCUGCUGUGAAAACGCGAGGCUCAACCUCGCGCCUGCAGUGGGUACGGGCAGACUAGAGUGCGGUAGGGGAGAUUGGAAUUCCUGGUGUAGCGGUGGAAUGCGCAGAUAUCAGGAGGAACACCGGUGGCGAAGGCGGGUCUCUGGGCAGUAACUGACGCUGAGGAGCGAAAGCGUGGGGAGCGAACAGG